This 730-nucleotide non-coding RNA is filed under the name Mus musculus (house mouse). The record is from RNAcentral. Lineage: Eukaryota; Metazoa; Chordata; Mammalia; Rodentia; Muridae.
GAGGACCGUAUUCAUGGAAGAGGAUUGAACAGACUACUGAGUUCUUAAGAGAAAAAUGGCACUUAAGAAAUUGAUGGUGAUAUCAAAGGAAGGUUACUUAUUACUCUUGGACUUUGAUGAUGAGGACGAUGACAUAAAAGUUUCAGAGGAGGCUCUUGCGGAAGUAAAGAGCCCAGGAUUUGAUAAAAAUGAGAAUAUAUCGCCUCAAGCAGAAGCAGAUGAAUAUAUGGGAGAUGAAGUAGACAGUAUGUUGGAUAAAUCUGGAGUAAAGAACCCAGCAAUUGGUAAAGAUGAGAAUAUAUCGCCUCAAGUAAAAGGAGAUGAAGACAUGGGAGAUGAAAUUGACAGUAUGUUGGCUACAUCUGGAGGUCUUUUCUCCUGAGAACACGGGACUCCAGCAUCUUCGGAUUCUGCUCUUGGAGGGGUUUGCCCCACAUCCUCUAUAUUGCAGAAAACAAGACUAGGCUCUACCUCUGUAGAUCAAGCACGACUGAAAUCCGUGCUCUCAAAAGAUGCUGGGGAGAAAGAGUGCCAUUCUUCACAAAUGCUGAUGUGUGCAGCUGAACAGAGCGUUGAGGAAACGUCAGUGAUUUUAUAACUACUUAUCAUGUUGGGAGAUUGUUGUGAUGAUUGCCUGGACUCUCAGAUGUUACACAGGCUGCAUCAUUGGACUGAAAGUGAAUGGCCCAUGUGUUGCCACUGAUGUGAGCCAUUUGCCUGUUGUGCUUCA